GACGAACGCUGGCGGCGUGCUUAACACAUGCAAGUCGAACGGAAAGGCCCUGCUUGUUUGUGGUGCUCGAGUGGCGAACGGGUGUGUAACACGUGAGUAACCUGCCCUUGACUUUGUGAUAACUUCAGGAAACUGGGGCUAAUACCGGAUACGAGCUCCUGCUGCAUGGGGGGGGUCGGAAAGUUUCGGCGGUUGGGGAUGGACUUGCGGCUUAUCAGCUUGUUGGUGGGGGAGUGGCUUACCCAGCCUUUGACUGGUAGCCGGCCUGGGAGGGUGAACGGCCACCUUGGGACUGAGGUACGGCGCAGACUGCUACGGGAGACAGCAGUGGGGAGUAUUGCACAAUGGGCGGAAGCCUGAUACAGCGACGCUGCGUGCGGGAUGCCGGCCUUCGGGUUGUAAACCGCUUUCGCCUGUGACGAAGCGGGAGUGACGGUAAUAGGUAAAGAAGCACCGGCUAACUACGUG
This 468-nucleotide ribosomal RNA is filed under the name uncultured bacterium. RNAcentral's name for it is "partial 16S ribosomal RNA". It matches the Rfam family "Bacterial small subunit ribosomal RNA", at positions 28 to 507 of the family's 1533-position model. The record is from RNAcentral.